This 86-nucleotide transfer RNA is filed under the name Vanderwaltozyma polyspora. RNAcentral's name for it is "transfer RNA-Ser". It matches the Rfam family "tRNA". From Rfam's summary of the family: Transfer RNA (tRNA) molecules are approximately 80 nucleotides in length. Lineage: Eukaryota; Fungi; Ascomycota; Saccharomycetes; Saccharomycetales; Saccharomycetaceae. The record is from RNAcentral.
GGAUAGUUGACUGAGUGGUUUAAAGUGUAAUAUUUGAGCUAUUAUUAAUCCUAAAGAUUACGUAGGUUCGAAUCCUACAUUAUCCG